RNAcentral lists this ribosomal RNA (370 nucleotides) under uncultured bacterium. RNAcentral's name for it is "bacterial SSU rRNA". It matches the Rfam family "Bacterial small subunit ribosomal RNA", at positions 28 to 384 of the family's 1533-position model. The record is from RNAcentral.
GACGAACGCUGGCGGCGUGCCUAACACAUGCAAGUCGUGCGAGAAAGUUCCUUCGGGAGCGAGUAAAGCGGCGCACGGGUGAGUAACACGUAGGUAACCUGCCCCCCAGUCUGGAACAACUAGAGGAAACUCUAGCUAAUGCCGGAUGAGACCACGAUCCCUUCGGGGGUUGCGGCCAAAGAUGGCCUCUACUUGUAAGCUAUCGCUGAGGGAUGGGCCUGCGGCCAUUAGCUUGUUGGUGAGGUAACGGCUCACCAAGGCUGUGAUGGCUAGCUGGUCUGAGAGGAUGACCAGCCACACUGGGACUGAGACACGGCCCAGACUCCUACGGGAGGCAGCAGUGGGGAAUAUUGCGCAAUGGCGAAAGCCU